UGGGGAAUCUUGGACAAUGGGGGCAACCUGAUCCAGCAAUGCCGCGUGUGGGAUGAAGGCCUCGGGUUGUAAACCACUUUUGGCGGGGGCGAAAUAUCGAGUGCUAAUACCAUUCGGUGAUGACGGUACCCGCAGAAUAAGCACCGGCUAACUACGUGCCAGCAGCCGCGGUAAUACGUAGGGUGCAAGCGUUAAUCGGAAUUACUGGGCGUAAAGCGUGCGCAGGCGUUAGGUAAGACAGGUGUGAAAUUCCCGGGCUCAACCUGGGAACUGCAUUUGUGACUGCCUGACUAGAGUGCGGCAGAGGGGAGUGGAAUUCCGCGUGUAGCAGUGAAAUGCGUAGAUAUGCGGAGGAACACCGAUGGCGAAGGCAACUCCCUGGGCCUGCACUNACGCUCAUGCACGAAAAGCGUGGGGAGCAAACAGGAUCAGAUACCCUGGUAGUCCACGCCCUAAACGAUGUCGACUAG
Molecule: ribosomal RNA, 470 nt
Filed under: uncultured bacterium
Lineage: Bacteria
Description: partial 16S ribosomal RNA
Rfam family: Bacterial small subunit ribosomal RNA
Source: RNAcentral